This is a non-coding RNA of Biomphalaria pfeifferi, 361 nucleotides long. NCBI's taxonomy places the organism in Eukaryota, Metazoa, Mollusca, Gastropoda, Planorbidae. The record is from the annotation of a GenBank genome assembly.
AUAGUUUUCAAUGUGUAUUUACUUUCCUAUACAUUAUUAGGAAUAUAAACAAAAUAUCAACAUGCAAGUUUAGAGGCAACAAAAACAGAAAGGUCUUUGAAAAUAAAGUCUUAAAGCUUCCUGGAGAAUGUUUCAAGACAAGGAAACAAUUACGUCUCAACCUAAGUUCAAAGUUCAAAGUUUAUUUGUACACCGGAUACACCAAAGAGCUAGCUAUUUAUAGUUUUAUUUUCUCGAGAAGUAUUUUCCCACGUUCUGACAGAGUUGCUCAUUUUUCACAUGUGUACAGUCUACCCUACAUUCUACCCUAUAGUCUACCCUACAUUCUACCCUAUAGUCUACCCUAUAGUCUACCCUACAU